RNAcentral lists this ribosomal RNA (253 nucleotides) under uncultured bacterium. Its description in RNAcentral is "partial 16S ribosomal RNA". It matches the Rfam family "Bacterial small subunit ribosomal RNA", at positions 524 to 776 of the family's 1533-position model. The record is from RNAcentral.
GACGAACCGUGCGAACGUUAUUCGGAAUCACUGGGCUUAAAGGGAGCGUAGGCGGGCUAUCAAGUCUGGGGUGAAAUCCCACGGCUCAACCGUGGAACUGCCUCAGAUACUGAUGGCCUCGAGGGAGAUAGGGGCAUGCGGAACUGUAGGUGGAGCGGUGAAAUGCGUUGAUAUCUACAGGAACUCCGGUGGCGAAAGCGGCGUGCUGGAUCUCUUCUGACGCUGAGGCUCGAAAGCUAGGGGAGCAAACAGG